AACGCUAGCUACAGGCUUAACACAUGCAAGUCGAGGGGCAGCAUGAUUCCAGCUUGCUGGAAUUGAUGGCGACCGGCGCACGGGUGAGUAACGCGUAUCCAACCUACCGUAUACUCAGGGAUAGCCUUCCGAAAGGGAGAUUAACACCUGAUAGAAUCUAUAGGCCUCCUGGCUUUAAGAUUAAAUGUAAAGGUAUAUGAUGGGGAUGCGUUCCAUUAGAUAGUAGGCGGGGUAGCGGCCCACCUAGUCAACGAUGGAUAGGGGUUCUGAGAGGAAGGUCCCCCACAUUGGAACUGAGACACGGUCCAAACUCCUACGGGAGGCAGCAGUGAGGAAUAUUGGUCAAUGGAUGAGAAUCUGAACCAGCCAAGUAGCGUGAAGGAUGACGGCCCUACGGGUUGUAAACUUCUUUUGAAAGGGAAUAAAGUGUGGUACGUGUACCAUAUUGUAUGUACCUUUGGAAUAAGCAUCGGCUAACUCCGUGCCAGCAGCCGCGGUAAUACGGAAGAUGCGAGCGUUAUCCGGAUUUAUUGGGUUUAAAGGGAGCGUAGGCGGGUCGGUAAGUCAGCGGUAAAAUAUCUUGGCUCAACCAGGUUGUGCCGUUGAAACUGCCGGUCUUGAGAUUACACAAGGCAGAUGGAAUUCGUGGUGUAGCGGUGAAAUGCUUAGAUAUCACGAAGAACUCCGAUUG
RNAcentral lists this ribosomal RNA (691 nucleotides) under uncultured bacterium. RNAcentral describes it as "bacterial SSU rRNA". It matches the Rfam family "Bacterial small subunit ribosomal RNA", at positions 32 to 715 of the family's 1533-position model. The record is from RNAcentral.